Molecule: ribosomal RNA, 137 nt
Filed under: uncultured bacterium
Lineage: Bacteria
Description: partial 16S ribosomal RNA
Rfam family: Bacterial small subunit ribosomal RNA
Source: RNAcentral
UGGGGAUAUUGCACAAUGGGGGGAACCCUGAUGCAGCGACGCCGCGUGGGUGAAGGAGCGUUUCGGCGCGUAAAGCCCUAUCGGCAGGGAAGAAGGAGGACGGUACCUGACUAAGAAGCCCCGGCUAACUACGUGCC